CCUACGGGGUGCUGCAGUGGGGAAUAUUGCACAAUGGGGGAAACCCUGAUGCAGCGACGCCGCGUGAGUGAAGAAGUAUCUCGGUGCGUAAAGCUCUAUCAGCAGGGAAGAUAAUGACGGUACCUGACCAAGAAGCCCCGGCUAACUACGUGCCAGCAGCCGCGGUAAUACGUAGGGGGCAAGCGUUAUCCGGAUUUACUGGGUGUAAAGGGAGCGUAGACGGCAGCACAAGUCUGGAGUGAAAGGCGGGGGCCCAACCCCCGGACUGCUUUGGAAACUGGAUGGCUGGAGUGCAGGAGAGGCAGGCGGAAUUCCUAGUGUAGCGGUGAAAUGCGUAGAUAUUAGGAGGAACACCGGUGGCGAAGGCGGCCUGCUGGACUGUGACUGACGUUGAGGCCCGAAGGCGUGGGGAGCAAACAGGAUUAGAUACCCCAGUAGUC
RNAcentral lists this ribosomal RNA (440 nucleotides) under uncultured bacterium. RNAcentral describes it as "partial 16S ribosomal RNA". It matches the Rfam family "Bacterial small subunit ribosomal RNA", at positions 338 to 795 of the family's 1533-position model. The record is from RNAcentral.